GCGGAAGGAUCAUUGUCGAAAUCGAACGGAAGAACGACCCGCGAAUCGUCACAGCUAACUAGACAGAGCCCGUGAGCACCUAACGCUCAUGGGGCUCGCGUCGCGUCGCGGCAACGGAUAUCUCGGCUCUUGCAUCGAUGAAGAACGUAGCGAAAUGCGAUACUUGGUGUGAAUUGCAGAAUCCCGUGAACCAUCAAUUCUUUGAACGCAAGUUGCGCCCGAAGCCAUUCGGCCGAGGGCACGCCUGCCUGGGUGUCGUGAAUCCCCUUGCCCCUAGGCACCCGCAUGAGCAUUGGCGGGGAUGUAUGCUCGGGCGCAGAACAUGGUCUCCCGUGGGAUCGGCAUGCACGGCAUGUCGAGGUGCGGUUGGCCGAAAAUCGAGCAUGACGGUGACGGGCACCACGGCGUUCGGUGGAUCGAAUGAGAUUGGCUGC
RNAcentral lists this ribosomal RNA (434 nucleotides) under Miconia grenadensis. Its description in RNAcentral is "eukaryotic LSU rRNA". The stretch from base 103 to 258 matches the Rfam family "5.8S ribosomal RNA". Lineage: Eukaryota; Viridiplantae; Streptophyta; Magnoliopsida; Myrtales; Melastomataceae. The record is from RNAcentral.